RNAcentral lists this ribosomal RNA (1232 nucleotides) under Corynebacterium frankenforstense. Its description in RNAcentral is "bacterial SSU rRNA". It matches the Rfam family "Bacterial small subunit ribosomal RNA", at positions 29 to 1268 of the family's 1533-position model. Lineage: Bacteria; Bacillati; Actinomycetota; Actinomycetes; Mycobacteriales; Corynebacteriaceae. The record is from RNAcentral.
ACGAACGCUGGCGGCGUGCUUAACACAUGCAAGUCGAACGGAAAGGCCAGUGCUUGCACUGGUACUCGAGUGGCGAACGGGUGAGUAACACGUGGGUGAUCUGCCCUCAACUCCGGGAUAAGCCUGGGAAACUGGGUCUAAUACUGGAUAGGACCACAUCGUGGAUGGUGUGGUGGAAAGCGUUUUGCAGCGGUUGGGGAUGAGCUCGCGGCCUAUCAGCUUGUUGGUGGGGUAAUGGCCUACCAAGGCGGCGACGGGUAGCCGGCCUGAGAGGGUGUACGGUCACAUUGGGACUGAGAUACGGCCCAGACUCCUACGGGAGGCAGCAGUGGGGAAUAUUGCACAAUGGGCGCAAGCCUGAUGCAGCGACGCCGCGUGGGGGAUGACGGCCUUCGGGUUGUAAACCUCUUUCGACCGUGACGAAGCCUUUGGUGACGGUAGCGGUAGAAGAAGCACCGGCUAACUACGUGCCAGCAGCCGCGGUAAUACGUAGGGUGCGAGCGUUGUCCGGAUUUACUGGGCGUAAAGGGCUCGUAGGUGGUUUGUCGCGUCGUCUGUGAAAUUCCGGGGCUCAACUCCGGGCGUGCAGGCGAUACGGGCAUAACUUGAGUACUGCAGGGGUAACUGGAAUUCCUGGUGUAGCGGUGGAAUGCGCAGAUAUCAGGAGGAACACCGAUGGCGAAGGCAGGUUACUGGGCAGUUACUGACGCUGAGGAGCGAAAGCAUGGGUAGCGAACAGGAUUAGAUACCCUGGUAGUCCAUGCUGUCAACGGUGGGCGCUAGGUGUGAGACCCUUCCACGGGUUUUGUGCCGUAGCUAACGUUUUAAGCGCCCCGCCUGGGGAGUACGGCCGCAAGGCUAAAACUCAAAGGAAUUGACGGGGGCCCGCACAAGCGGCGGAGCAUGUGGAUUAAUUCGAUGCAACGCGAAGAACCUUACCUGGGUUUGACAUACACCGGAUCGCCCCGGAGACGGGGUUUCCCUUUGUGGUCGGUGUACAGGUGGUGCAUGGUUGUCGUCAGCUCGUGUCGUGAGAUGUUGGGUUAAGUCCCGCAACGAGCGCAACCCUUGUCCUGUGUUGCCAGCACAUUGUGGUGGGGACUCACGGGAGACUGCCGGGGUGAACUCGGAGGAAGGUGGGGAUGACGUCAAAUCAUCAUGCCCCUUAUGUCCAGGGCUUCACACAUGCUACAAUGGUCGGUACAACAGGUUGCGAUACCGUGAGGUGGAGC